Molecule: ribosomal RNA, 497 nt
Filed under: uncultured bacterium
Lineage: Bacteria
Description: partial 16S ribosomal RNA
Rfam family: Bacterial small subunit ribosomal RNA
Source: RNAcentral
GAUGAACGCUGGCGGCGUGCCUAAUACAUGCAAGUCGAGCGAACGGACGAGAAGCUUGCUUCUCUGAUGUUAGCGGCGGACGGGUGAGUAACACGUGGAUAACCUACCUAUAAGACUGGGAUAACUUCGGGAAACCGGAGCUAAUACCGGAUAAUAUUUUGAACCGCAUGGUUCAAAAGUGAAAGACGGUCUUGCUGUCACUUAUAGAUGGAUCCGCGCUGCAUUAGCUAGUUGGUAAGGUAACGGCUUACCAAGGCAACGAUGCAUAGCCGACCUGAGAGGGUGAUCGGCCACAAUGGAACUGAGACACGGUCCAGACUCCUACGGGAGGCAGCAGUAGGGAAUCUUCCGCAAUGGGCGAAAGCCUGACGGAGCAAAGCCGCGUGAGUGAUGAAGGUCUUCGGAUCGUAAAACUCUGUUAUUAGGGAAGAACAUAUGUGUAAGUAACUGUGCACAUCUUGACGGUACCUAAUCAGAAAGCCACGGCUAACUACGUG